RNAcentral lists this ribosomal RNA (291 nucleotides) under uncultured bacterium. Its description in RNAcentral is "partial 16S ribosomal RNA". It matches the Rfam family "Bacterial small subunit ribosomal RNA", at positions 773 to 1060 of the family's 1533-position model. The record is from RNAcentral.
GUGGAUUAGAUACCCUGGUAGUCCUGGCCGUAAACGAUGAACACUAGGUGUUGCGGGUAUCGACCCCUGCAGUGCCGUAGCUAACGCGAUAAGUGUUCCGCCUGGGGAGUACGCACGCAAGUGUGAAACUUAAAGGAAUUGACGGGGACCCGCACAAGCGGUGGAACAUGUGGUUUAAUUCGAAGCAACGCGAAAAACCUUACCAGGACUUGACAUUGAUAGAAUCCGGAUGAAAGUCUGGAGUGCCCUUCGGGGAGCUUGAAAACAGGUGGUGCACGGUUGUCGACAACU